Molecule: ribosomal RNA, 253 nt
Filed under: uncultured bacterium
Lineage: Bacteria
Description: partial 16S ribosomal RNA
Rfam family: Bacterial small subunit ribosomal RNA
Source: RNAcentral
UACGGGGGGGGCAAGCGUUGUUCGGAAUUACUGGGCGUAAAGGGCUCGUAGGCGGCCAACUAAGUCAGACGUGAAAUCCCCAGGCUCAACCUGGGAACUGCGUCUGAUACUGGAUGGCUUGAAUCCGGGAGAGGGAUGCAGAAUUCCAGGUGUAGCGGUGAAAUGCGCAGAUAUCAGGAGGAACACCGGUGGCGAAGGCGGGUCUCUGGGCCGAUACUGACGCUGAGGAGCGAAAGCGUGGGGAGCGAACAGG